UACGUAGGCAGCAAGCGUUGUUCGGAGUUACUGGGCGUAAAGGGUGCGUAGGCGGCUUCUUAAGUCUGGUGUGAAAUCUCCCGGCUCAACUGGGAGGGUGCGCCGGAUACUGAGGGGCUAGAGUGUGGGAGAGGAAAGUGGAAUUCCAGGUGUAACGGUGAAAUGCGUAGAUAUCUGGAGGAACACCGGUGGUGUAAACGGCUUUCUGGACCAUUACUGACGCUGAUGCACGAAAGCGUGGGUAG
RNAcentral lists this ribosomal RNA (245 nucleotides) under uncultured bacterium. Its description in RNAcentral is "partial 16S ribosomal RNA". It matches the Rfam family "Bacterial small subunit ribosomal RNA", at positions 524 to 768 of the family's 1533-position model. The record is from RNAcentral.